CUGCCUCUUUAUGAAAGAAUUUUAUAAAUGUGCCAAAAGAAUAAAAAGGAGACCGGAGGAAGAAUGCAUAGAACCAACAGUGAAAAAGGCUGCUGCUAAUUUUCUAACUAAGGUGAGAAAUAUCAACCUCGUCAGGAAUCUUGAAGGUAUCUGCUGCACCAAACUUUCUAAAUUCCUCGCCUUCAGUCACUGAGUCGUCUUCAUUAUCGUCGUACUCUUCUGCCGAAUCCUGAUGACGGGGGGUUGAAGGGUCGUACAUGCUUCUGGACCUGCAGUCAUGAGUUGCAAGCAUGUUCACUUGGCCAAGGUGUGAAAGCUCUACCAUCACAGUUUCAUCAUCCAUUGGCAGUGGCUGUUUCCAGGGCUCCCCAUCCAUCCUCAUAAAUGUAUGGUCUGCUGCUCCUUUCCGAAAUUCGAAGCGAAUGCGGUUUGCCUAGUCAGCCACGAAAGAGAAACCAACCAAACUCGAUAAGUUAUAAUUUGUAUGCACCCAAUCCCAUCACUUCUUUUUGUACAACACUUUACCUGGGCAAGUCGUGUACCGUGUCCAUUUGGAGCGAGCAGGACAAGACCGUGCCAAGCAUUUCUGAACCCAACAACCUCAAUGUAGCCAUCGUCAACGAACGGUGGAGUCAAGUCUCUCUGUUGUGUGAAAAGAAAUAAAUGUGCACAUUAUUUUACCACCAUGGCAAAGAUAUAUAUAAAUGUCAAGACCUACGUCACGUUGUUUCCUGGGAUUUGGUGUGCCCCAAGGAUUUAGCCCUCCAGAAAAGCUGGGCAGAUUAAGACAUACAAUGGACCUCAUGCUGUGAGAGCAGAAACAAAAACGUCAGGAGUUGGAGUGUAUAUUCUUUUAUUCAAGGUUGAACAGCUUAUUGCAAGAAAGAAGGGCAUUGACAAUGAUUAUUAUAUCCAGUAAAAGAAAGAUGUAAAAUCCCAAGUGAUUCCUUAAGGAACCAUUUAGAUAAAGAUUACCUAUGGGGUAUGUCAAGGUCCUGCCAUUGGCCAUUUUUAUUUGCAAUCUUAACCUUUGCAAGCUGAGCUAUGUUCCUGCAGGGGAAUAGCCACCAUUACAAACAAGGACUUGAAAUCUAAGAAAAUGGGAACCCACUACCAAUAAUAUAUAUAUUCACUUGCUCACCGUGAAGCAGGGUGGAAUAGAGAGGCACAAAACCAUCCUUGCGUGCAACCAAGCUUUACAUACGUACUCUAGCCAAAUGGAAUGUGAAGCCAAUGCUAUUACUUGUUUAAUUUUAGUCCUAACGGGAUCUAUAAAUUGAACAAAAAUCAGAAUCGAAAAACUUCAAGAACAAGGUACCUGAUUAACGAGCUGAUUCUUAAAUUUUUCAGGGUGCAGCUUCCUCUCAGAAUGAAACGCAUAAGAAACUUGAGCAUCCAUUCCUGCACACAAAAGGACAAUCAAACUUUCAAGGGAAUUUGUCUUUGAAAAUUGACACGUAGAUAUUAGUUUUUUAAAUCCCAUUAUUUGAUUUCCAUACAGACAAUCCAAUCUCUAUAAUAAUUAGUAUAGUAAGUUAUGAUUACUAGCACAUCAACCAUCCGUAAGAGAAACCUAUCUGCCAAACAAAAAAUUCUCACCGAGGCUAAAGUAAUUCCAGAAUCCCCCGCGAAAUGUGUGGUAACCUUCCUGGAAAGAGUAAAGGAUAAUAUCCAUAAUAAGAGAAAAUUGAGUCAGAAUUAUCCUUCCUGGUAGAAAUGUUAUGUACCAUAUUUAGUUCAUCUGUUGAAGAGACACGGUGAAAUGCAUGCAGAGAAUGUGGUAACUCAAGAGGUGCAAGAGGAUCACAAGGGCCUUCUUUAGGAGUCUUCAUCCUCAUAACUAUGUGCCAACUUAAAGUAGACAAAAUGCAUUCACCAGUUAUUCCAGAAUUAUUUAAAAAAAGAAAAAGGAAAAAGAGAUAUGUAUAUACUUGUCAAUCUUCAUCUCUUUGGCCUUGAGCACUUGAUCCAAAAACAACUCCACUGAAGCUGUAUCAGUUCCUGGAUUUUUCUUUCCCUGAAGAGAGCAAGCAAAACAAGGAUUGAGAUUGAAACCCUUGUGAUAUUGUCAAGCCGGCCCUAAGAUUUAAGGGUAAUAGGCGUUUUUUUUUCUGAAACACAGGGUAAUAGGCGAUUUACUAAAGGGCAAAUCUCCAAAAUAACUCUCAAAAACUAAAAUGACCAAAAUAACAUUUUAUCGUUUGAAAUUUUUUUUUUUUUUUUUUUUUUUUCAAAAGUUGAAAUUCGAGAGGAGGAACUACCAUCUCUACGGCGCCCUCUUGAACUGCUACGCCACCAAGAAGGUCUUGCACAAAGCUGACCAACUCUUCCACGAGAUGAAAGACCUCGGCUUCCUCAGAGGCUGCCUUCCCUACAACGUCAUGCUCAACCUCUACAUCAGGUGCGGCAAAUACGCUUUGCUCGAGAAGCUUCUCCGCGAGAUGGACGAUGGGAACGUCAAGCCCGACAUCUUCACGGUCAACACGCGCCUCCACGCCUACUCUCUCGUAUCCGAUGUCGAGGGAAUGGAGAAGUUUCUCACGGGGUGCGAGUCUGACCCUGGACUUGACCUUGACUGGCGGACUUACGCUGAUGCUGCAAACGCCUACAUUAAAGCCGGUUCGACCGGAAAGGCGAUGGAGAUGCUGCGUAGAUCAGAGCAGUUGGUGAAUCCUCAGAAACGAAAGCAUGCCUACGAGGUUCUCAUGUCGUUCUACGGCGCUGCUGGUAAGAAACAAGAGGUCUACCGUCUCUGGACCUUGUACAAGGAGCUUGGUGGGUUCUUCAACACUGGAUACAUAAGCGUGAUCAGCGCGCUCUUUAAGGCGGAAGAUAUCGAGGGUGUUGAGAAGAUUAUGGGAGAUUGGGAGGCUGGACAUUCUCUAUUCGAUGUCCGGAUCCCGCAUUUGUUAAUAACGGGUUAUUGCAAGAACGGGAUGAUGGCAAAAGCAGAGGGGGUAGCAAAGAUGGUGCUCCAGGAGACAAGCACAUGGGAGAGGUUAGCUCUGGGUUACAAGAUGGCGGGGGAGAUGGAGAAGGCGGUGGAGAGAUGGAAGAAGGCAAUAGAGGUGAGCAAGCCAGGGUGGAGACCACACAAGGUUGUGCUGAUGAGCUGUGUGGAUUAUGUGGAGGGUCAAAGAGACAUGGAGGGUUUGAGAAAGAUUCUGAGGCUGCUAAGCGAGCGAGGACACAUUUCUUACGAUCAGCUACUCUAUGAUAUGAAGGAAGCUGGUGGGGGACUGGGUUGGAAGAUAGUCAAUGCAAUGGGAUCAAGUCAGGUUCAAGAUUAAGGAAGCACAAGUUAGAUUGUAGCCAGAACAAAACAUUGGAGUCUUGCUUGAUAGAUCAUUUGGAUGCUUAAUUCCAUUAUAUUAUAUGUUUUUUCUUUGGGCCUAAUAGAUUAAUAAUCUGAAUCAACUAUAACAAACAAAGACUCGCAUAUAAAUUCGCGGAGUUGCAUAUAAAUUCGCUGCCUCACACAUGAGAAUGAACAGAACAAGGAACGGUGAUGUUAUAAAAAUCCAGAAGCAUUACAUAACUGUCUCGAUCAUUAAGCUUGCACAACAAAUGAAAAGUGGGUACCAACUACGGCUAGCUGCCUCUUUAUGAAAGAAUUUUAUAAAUGUGCCAAAAGAAUAAAAAGGAGACCGGAGGAAGAAUGCAUAGAACCAACAGUGAAAAAGGCUGCUGCUAAUUUUCUAACUAAGGUGAGAAAUAUCAACCUCGUCAGGAAUCUUGAAGGUAUCUGCUGCACCAAACUUUCUAAAUUCCUCGCCUUCAGUCACUGAGUCGUCUUCAUUAUCGUCGUACUCUUCUGCCGAAUCCUG
Molecule: long non-coding RNA, 3827 nt
Filed under: Brassica napus (rape)
Lineage: Eukaryota; Viridiplantae; Streptophyta; Magnoliopsida; Brassicales; Brassicaceae
Description: long non-coding RNA (BNAP_LNC022659)
Source: RNAcentral